RNAcentral lists this non-coding RNA (30 nucleotides) under Homo sapiens (human). The record is from RNAcentral. Lineage: Eukaryota; Metazoa; Chordata; Mammalia; Primates; Hominidae.
UGUUAAUACCUCUCUCUCUUGCUCUUGCUC